GACGAACCGUGCGAGCGUUAUUCGGAAUCACUGGGCUUAAAGCGCGUGUAGGCGGAUGGGGACGUCGGUUGCUGAAAGCCCCCGGCUCAACCGGGGAACGGGCACCGAAACGCCCCGUCUGGAGGGACGUAGGGGGACCUGGAACUUCCGGUGGAGCGGUGAAAUGCGUUGAGAUCGGAAGGAACGCCCGUGGCGAAAGCGAGGUCCUGGACGUUUACUGACGCUGAGACGCGAAAGCUAGGGGAGCGAACGGG
This 254-nucleotide ribosomal RNA is filed under the name uncultured bacterium. RNAcentral's name for it is "partial 16S ribosomal RNA". It matches the Rfam family "Bacterial small subunit ribosomal RNA", at positions 524 to 776 of the family's 1533-position model. The record is from RNAcentral.